GAUGAACGCUGGCGGCGUGCUUAACACAUGCAAGUCGAACGGGAAACCUUUUAUUGAAGCUUCGGCAGAUUUCGCUGGUUUCUAGUGGCGGACGGGUGAGUAACGCGUGGGUAACCUGCCUUAUACAGGGGGAUAACAACCAGAAAUGGUUGCUAAUACCGCAUAAGCGCACAGGACCGCAUGGUCCGGUGUGAAAAACUCCGGUGGUAUAAGAUGGACCCGCGUUGGAUUAGCUAGUUGGCAGGGUAACGGCCUACCAAGGCGACGAUCCAUAGCCGGCAUGAGAGGGUGAACGGCCACAUUGGGACUGAGACACGGCCCAGACUCCUACGGGAGGCAGCAGUGGGGAAUAUUGCACAAUGGGGGAAACCCUGAUGCAGCGACGCCGCGUGAAGGAAGAAGUAUCUCGGUAUGUAAACUUCUAUCAGCAGGGAAGAUAGUGACGGUACCUGACGAAGAAGCCCCGGCUAACUACGUG
RNAcentral lists this ribosomal RNA (478 nucleotides) under uncultured bacterium. RNAcentral describes it as "partial 16S ribosomal RNA". It matches the Rfam family "Bacterial small subunit ribosomal RNA", at positions 28 to 507 of the family's 1533-position model. The record is from RNAcentral.